UUCUCCUCCUCCUCCUUCUCCUUCUCCUUCUCCUCCUCCUCCUCCUCCUCCUCCUCCUUCUUCUUCUUCUUUUUCUUCUCCUUCUUCUUCUCUUCUUCCUUCUUCUCUUUCUUCUUCUCCGUAGCUUAUUUUCCCCAACAAAGACAUACUUAGCUAAUUAUCCUCCAAAAUGACAUAAUUAGCUUAGUUAGAUUCAAAAUGGUCUAUUUAAUAAAAAAUGACCUAUACUUAGGUAAUUAUCCUCCAAAAUGACAUGAAUAGCUCCAAAAAGGCAUAAUUAGCGAAGAAGAGGACAAGAGGAGAAGAAAGAGGAAAAAUG
RNAcentral lists this long non-coding RNA (319 nucleotides) under Hordeum vulgare. Its description in RNAcentral is "long non-coding RNA (HVUL_LNC015886)". The record is from RNAcentral. Lineage: Eukaryota; Viridiplantae; Streptophyta; Magnoliopsida; Poales; Poaceae.